GGGCUUGACAUCCCACGAACCUGCCUGAAAGGGCGGGGUGCCCGCAAGGGAGCGCGGAGACAGGUGGUGCAUGGCUGUCGUCAGCUCGUGUCGUGAGAUGUUGGGUUAAGUCCCGCAACGGGCGCAACCCUCACCCCUUGUUGCUACCAGGUAAAGCUGGGCACUCUAGGGGAACUGCCCCGGUCAACGGGGAGGAAGGCGGGGAUGACGUCAAGUCAUCAUGCCCCUUACGUCCUGGGCUACACACGUGCUACAAUGGCCGGUACAAAGGGAUGCCACACCGCGAGGUAGAGCUAAACCCAAAAAGCCGGUCUAAGUUCAGAUUGGAGUCUGCAACUCGACUCCAUGAAGGGGGAAUCGCUAGUAAUCGCGUAUCAGCACGACGCGGUGAAUACGUUCCCGGGCCUUGUAACACCGCCCGUCACACCACGAACGCCAGCUGUACUCGAAGUCGCUGAG
Molecule: ribosomal RNA, 459 nt
Filed under: uncultured bacterium
Lineage: Bacteria
Description: bacterial SSU rRNA
Rfam family: Bacterial small subunit ribosomal RNA
Source: RNAcentral